This 499-nucleotide ribosomal RNA is filed under the name uncultured bacterium. RNAcentral's name for it is "bacterial SSU rRNA". It matches the Rfam family "Bacterial small subunit ribosomal RNA", at positions 8 to 521 of the family's 1533-position model. The record is from RNAcentral.
AGAGUUUGAUCCUGGCUCAGGACGAACGCUGAGCGACGUGCUUAACACAUGCAAGUCCGAGCGAGCUGAUUCCUUCGGGGUGAAGCUAGCGGCGGACGGGUGAGUAACACGUGGGCAACCUGCCUCAUAGAGGGGAAUAGCCUCCCGAAAGGGAGAUUAAUACCGCAUAAGAUUGUAGUUCCGCAUGGAAUAGCAAUUAAAGGAGCAAUCCGCUAUGAGAUGGGCCCGCGGCGCAUUAGCUAGUUGGUGAGGUAACGGCUCACCAAGGCGACGAUGCGUAGCCGACCUGAGAGGGUGAUCGGCCACAUUGGGACUGAGACACGGCCCAGACUCCUACGGGAGGCAGCAGUGGGGAAUAUUGCACAAUGGGGGAAACCCUGAUGCAGCAACGCCGCGUGAGUGAUGACGGCCCUUCGGGUUGUAAAGCUCUGUCUUCAGGGACGAUAAUGACGGUACCUGAGGAGGAAGCCACGGCUAACUACGUGCCAGCAGCCGCGGU